GGGGGUAUAGCUCAGUUGGGAGAGCACCUGCCUUGCAAGCAGGGGGUCAAGGGUUCGAAUCCCUUUAUCUCCA
This is a transfer RNA of 73 nucleotides. It matches the Rfam family "tRNA". From Rfam's summary of the family: Transfer RNA (tRNA) molecules are approximately 80 nucleotides in length. Their secondary structure includes four short double-helical elements and three loops (D, anti-codon, and T loops). The record is from Rfam.